GAUGAACGCUGGCGGCGUGCCUAAUACAUGCAAGUCGAGCGAACGGACGAGAAGCUUGCUUCUCUGAUGUUAGCGGCGGACGGGUGAGUAACACGUGGAUAACCUACCUAUAAGACUGGGAUAACUUCGGGAAACCGGAGCUAAUACCGGAUAAUAUUUUGAACCGCAUGGUUCAAAAGUGAAAGACGGUCUUGCUGUCACUUAUAGAUGGAUCCGCGCUGCAUUAGCUAGUUGGUAAGGUAACGGCUUACCAAGGCAACGAUGCAUAGCCGACCUGAGAGGGUGAUCGGCCACACUGGAACUGAGACACGGUCCAGACUCCUACGGGAGGCAGCAGUAGGGAAUCUUCCGCAAUGGGCGAAAGCCUGACGGGGCAACGCCGCGUGAGUGAUGAAGGUCUUCGGAUCGUAAAACUCUGUUAUUAGGGAAGAACAUAUGUGUAAGUAACUGUGCACAUCUUGACGGUACCUAAUCAGAAAGCCACGGCUAACUACGUGCCAGCAGCCGCGGUAAUGCGUAGGUGGCAAGCGUUAUCCGGAAUUAUUGGGCGUAAAGCGCGCGUAGGCGGUUUUUUAAGUCUGAUGUGAAAGCCCACGGCUCAACCGUGGAGGGUCAUUGGAAACUGGAAAACUUGAGUGCAGAAGAGGAAAGUGGAAUUCCAUGUGUAGCGGUGAAAUGCGCAGAGAUAUGGAGGAACACCAGUGGCGAAGGCGACUUUCUGGUCUGUAACUGACGCUGAUGUGCGAAAGCGUGGGGAUCAAACAGGAUUAGAUACCCUGGUAGUCCACGCCGUAAACGAUGAGUGCUAAGUGUUAGGGGGUUUCCGCCCCUUAGUGCUGCAGCUAACGCAUUAAGCACUCCGCCUGGGGAGUACGACCGCAAGGUUGAAACUCAAAGGAAUUGACGGGGACCCGCACAAGCGGUGGAGCAUGUGGUUUAAUUCGAAGCAACGCGAAGAACCUUACCAAAUCUUGACAUCCUUUGACAACUCUAGAGAUAGAGCUUUCCCCUUCGGGGGACAAAGUGACAGGUGGUGCAUGGUUGUCGUCAGCUCGUGUCGUGAGAUGUUGGGUUAAGUCCCGCAACGAGCGCAACCCUUAAGCUUAGUUGCCAUCAUUAAGUUGGGCACUCUAAGUUGACUGCCGGUGACAAACCGGAGGAAGGUGGGGAUGACGUCAAAUCAUCAUGCCCCUUAUGAUUUGGGCUACACACGUGCUACAAUGGACAAUACAAAGGGCAGCGAAACCGCGAGGUCAAGCAAAUCCCAUAAAGUUGUUCUCAGUUCGGAUUGUAGUCUGCAACUCGACUACAUGAAGCUGGAAUCGCUAGUAAUCGUAGAUCAGCAUGCUACGGUGAAUACGUUCCCGGGUCU
RNAcentral lists this ribosomal RNA (1372 nucleotides) under uncultured bacterium. RNAcentral's name for it is "bacterial SSU rRNA". It matches the Rfam family "Bacterial small subunit ribosomal RNA", at positions 28 to 1381 of the family's 1533-position model. The record is from RNAcentral.